UUUCCUUUUUCCAUAAGACUCAAAAGUAAUAUAAGGUCUACAAAAUCUACUAAAAAGUCUCUGCAAAAAGUAGAUGAAGAGGACUCUGAUGAAGAAAGCGAUUAUGACGAGAUGAGUGAGCAGGAAGAGGAGCUUGAGGAUGACCCUACUGUAGUCAAAAACUAUAAAGACCUGGAAAAAGCAGUGCAGUCUUUUCGGUAUGAUGUUAUCCUGAAGACGGGGCUAGAUAUUGGGAGAAAAUGAGCAAACUGAUUUCCAAAGAAGUGACUGCCUGCAAAUCCUAUGUGCCAUAUUUGAAUCUAAGACACAGUUGACUGUAAGAUGAACCAUUGAUUUAAUAACAGCUUCUUGAGGGGAAAAUGAAUCACCAUAUUAGAUGUAUGUAGCAAGCAUAAAAUGUACCUGGAUAUUUCACAAAUGCUAUAAUGUGAGACGGUACCUCAGCUGGGCGCGGUGACUCAUGCCUGUAAUCCCAGCACUUUGGGAGGCUGAGCUGGGCAGAUCACAAGGUCAGGAGUUCAAGACCAGCCUGGCCAAUAUGGUAAAACCCUGUCUCUACUAAAAAUACAAAACUUAGCCAGGCGAGGUGGCAGGUGCCUGGAGUCCCAGCUACUUGAGAGGCUGAGGCAAGAGAGUCACUUGAACCCGGGAGGCAGAGGUUGCAGUGAGCCGAGAUCGCGCCACUGUACUCCAGCCUGGGUGACAGAGUGAGACUCCAUCUGAAAAAAAAAAGGUACCUCUUAGAAUUAACAGCAU
Molecule: small RNA, 756 nt
Filed under: Pongo abelii (Sumatran orangutan)
Lineage: Eukaryota; Metazoa; Chordata; Mammalia; Primates; Hominidae
Description: processed transcript
Source: RNAcentral